RNAcentral lists this long non-coding RNA (6910 nucleotides) under Salmo salar (Atlantic salmon). Its description in RNAcentral is "lncRNA (ENSSSAG00000093069.1)". Lineage: Eukaryota; Metazoa; Chordata; Actinopteri; Salmoniformes; Salmonidae. The record is from RNAcentral.
AAUACAUCAUUACAGUUUUUGGUUAGAUACCUUGCAAAUCUUAGCCAUUGACAUAAAAAAAAAAUCAGUCAAAACAGGACAUGGUAUCAAGAACUAGAUAAAACUAACUGAAACGAUCCACCUACAAUUCCCCACGGCAUCUUGUCAUUGUUGCUAGCUGACCAUUCAGAAUUACAAAGCAAGGCUUCCUCCCCCAUCAAUGCACAUGCAUCAUUUUUGUGACGUUGUCAGCCAACCCGUCUAUAAAACAAAAUGUUACUUCAAUACAAAAGCAAGCUCACAAUAGCCUAACAUUUUCAGGUGAUUCUAGCAGUGACCUCCAGGUUGGUGAUGAGGUUAACAGCACUAAUCUGGAGGAUGUGGGUAUUACGUACGCCUCUUGGAGAGGGAACGCAGCACCCUGCUACAACUCAACUCCCCGUGGAGUGAAAGAGGUAUGGGAUUGUAGGUGCAAGUAAGGAUGACAAAAGCAGAGAAUUUACCAUUUACUGGUUAUUUAUUUACAUGGUAAAUUUGAAGAAAAGGGGCUGGAUGGAACCAAAGCAAAGAAAGUAAAUGUCAAAGCCCUCUCUCCUACCUUACCUGCCUACCCACUACUUACCUAACUUAGCACCACCUGGUGCACCAACCAAAAUACAUGGGGGUGUUCCACCCAGGUCCUACCUAGUGUGCAGACAGUAAAUACUACGGGUUAUUUACGCCCACAGGCCUCUUGCCUAAGCACUCCCUGGUGCCUUCCCCUUCCCCCCCGGGAACAAAUGAAACAGAAUAAUCCAAACGUAAGUAAACAAUUUCAAUAAUCAAACAGUCCUUUGGACAUAAACAUACCUCCGCAGGACCUGCUACAAACAACUUCACCAACAAAAAAAAACCAGAGAAACAACUAACACAGGACAUCAAAGACGCUCUCGCUGUCUGAGAAACAAACUAACACAGAACAUAAUAAUCAGCUCUCUGAGAACAAAGGAACAUUGGCUUUGCUAGCUUCAGAAGGAGUCUGUAAUGGGAUACAGCUGUAUCUGACGAGAGGGCGGGGUCAGCUCCAAUUAGCAAUGGGGCCGACCAAUCAGCUGCUUGGGGGAAUUUCAGGAAUCCAUCCUGAAACACACAUAUACAAACAAAACCACAACACAGAAACUGGGGAACGUAACAGUGGGGGUGAGGUUAACUGUACUAAUCUGGAGGAAGUGGGGGGUGAGGUUAACUGUACUAAUCUGGAGGAAGUGGGGGGUGAGGUUAACUGUACUAAUCUGGAGGAAGUGGGGGGUGAGGUUAACUGUACUAAUCUGGAGGAAGUGGGGGUGAGGUUAACGGUACUAAUCUGGAGGAAGUGGGAGUGAGGUUAACCGUACUAACAUGGAGGAAGUGGGGGUGAGUUUAACCGUACUAAUCUGGAGGAAGUGGGGGUGAGGUUAACCGUACUAACAUGGAGGAAGUGGGGGUGAGGUUAACAAUGCUAAUCUGGAGGAAGUGGGGGUGAGGUUAACAAUGCUAACAUGGAGGAAGUGGGGGUGAGGUUAACAAUGCUAAUCUGGAGGAAGUGGGGGUGAGGUUAACAAUGCUAACAUGGAGGAAGUGGGGGUGAGGUUAACAAUGCUAAUCUGGAGGAAGUGGGGUUCUCCUAGAUCUAAGAUUAAAGGGGCAGUUCAGUAUUUUACAACAUAUAAUGUUAGAUGGUUCCUCAACCUGAACAUAGUCUAACAUUAUGUUGUAAAAUACUGCUCCUUUAAAAUAUACUUUUUAUAAACCCCCUGUGUGUACCACCGGGUAUAAAUUAUUCAAAACAAAUAAUGGCUCUAUAUUCAUAUAAUACAUUAUUCCUCACAGGUGGAAAGUGUUUCCUAGAUGACUAACAUUAUUACAUUUUCGGUGAGUCACUACUACUUCACUGACUCACAUCAAUGUGGUUUGAAUGAUUGAGCCAGUGCAAAACCCACUACUGUGAGGCCAGAGAGAGGAGCCUCAUGGGGAUUAUGAGUCUGUGACACUGAUUAAGUUACCUGACAGACAGGUACGUGAUCUCUAGACUGCAUCACCACGGCCGUUUUCUAGUUCUAUCUAUGCUAUGAGAUGAAGACACACGCAUACUCACACACACACACAUUCUCUGCGUGGCAAUUCAGCUCCGCCAUUACUGGGGUAAUGAAGUCUGAAUAUAGACGGAGGCUAAGUGUCAUGUGCCGUCUGCGAAACUGAUAAGAAAGUAAAGGGAAAGGGGGAUACCUAGUCAGUUGUACAACUGAAUGCAUUCAACUAAAAUGUGUCUUCCGCAAAAUUACGGUAGCUUUACCAGAAAACCCGGUUGAAGGAUUCUCAGACUUCCUGCUUAUUCCCUCCUGAUUCCGGGAAUCUUCCAACUGUGAUUUCUGGAAAACUAGGGAAUUUGGGGAAAGUUACUGGAAUUUUGCAAACCUAGGCAUGGGGCAUUGUGCCACCAGAAGAUCUAUGGUGGCAAAGCCUCAGUUGGCUGUGAUCUACUGCAACGUGCCUUCAAUUUACCUGCACGGGAGACAACUCAUCUUCGGAGGGGAGUAGGGGAUUUGGAAUAUCAAAAGGCCAGCGAGGUUGGGAUUUGUUGGGGACUGAAUGGAAGACCUUUGAGGGAGGAAAUACGCUGCUGUUUAGGAAGAAUGUUGAUAGACCUUUGUUGUUUGGGGAGGAUGCGAUGCUCUAUACAUUGAAUCAUAGUCAAUGGCAUUGCAUACUUGAUGAACCUAAAAUACUGUACUGUAUGUUAACAAGCUCCUAAGCAGUCGUAAUCACGUAUAUAAACAAGACAACUGAUGUUUCCCGUUAACUGGAAAAAACAUCAAAAACCAAUAACGAGCAUGUUGGUGACAUAUCUGGUUACAUAUCAGACAUUCCUUAACAGUGAUUAGAAACUGGGUGGUUCGAGCCCUGAAUGCUGAUUGGCUGACAGCCGUGGUAUAUCAGACCUUAUACCACGACUAUGACAAAAUAUUGAUUUUUACUGCUCUAAUUACGUUGGUAACCAGUUUGUAAUAGCAAUAAGGCACCUUGGAGGUUUAUGGAAUAUGGUCAAUAUACCACGGCUAAGGGCUGUGUCCAGCCACUCCGAGAUGAGUCGUGCAUAAGAACAGCCCUUAGCCGUGGUAUAUUGGCCAUAUACCACACCCCCUCGUGCCAUAUUGCUUAAAUAUAACAAAUGCUUCUGUUUAUAUUUGAGAACCAGGUCCAAGGUCAAUAAAUACUGCGUAUGAUACAUUACACCGUACCUUCUCGCUUAUUACAUAGGGCUUUUAGUGAAUGCCACUCUAGUUGGAAUAUAAAACAAAGUAUUUGACUAUUUACUCAUACAGGGGGUUUAGUCCAAGAAGACAGACAGUUGGAGGUUAUGUAAAUGACUGGAGUCUAACUGGGCUCCCAGGAACUGGCUGCCAACAGAACAUAUGCCAACCGCACAUUGAUUUUCUAAAUCCAAUUGAAGUGAAAGCCCAGCAACACUCAUUAGCAUUAUGCUAGAAGUGUUGCCUUAUGGAAGCAGGAUUGAUUCUCACAACAAUAUAUAUAAGUACAAUAUCAGUCAAAAGUUUGGACAAACCUACUAAUUAAUUAAUUUUUACUAUUUUCUAAAUUGUAAAAGUAGUGAAGACAUCAAAACUAUAAAAUAACUCAUAUGGAACCAUCUAGUAACCAAAAAAGGGUUAAACAAAUGCAAACAUAUUUCAGAUUCUUCAAAGUAGCCCCCCUUUGCCUUGAUGACAGCUUUUCACACUCUAGGCAUUCUCUCAACCAGCUUCAUGAGGAAUGCUUUUCCAACAGUCUUGAAAGAGUUCCCACAUAUGCUGAGCACUUGUUGGCUGCUUUUCCUUCACUCUGCAGUCCAACUCAUCUCAAACCAUCUCUGGGUUGAAGUCAGGUGAUUUGUGGAAGCCAAGUCAUCUGAUGCAGCACUCCAUCACUCUCCUUGGUCAAAUAGCCCUUGCACAGCCUGGAGGUGUGUUGGGUCAUUGUCCUGUUGAAAAACAAAUGAUAGUCCCCCAGAUAGGAUAGCGUAUCGCUGCAGAAUGCUGUGGUAGCCCUGCUGGUUGAGUGAGCCUUGAAUUAUAAAUAAAUCACCGACAGUGUCACCAGCAAAGCACCCCAACACCUCCUCUUCCAUGCUUCAUGGUGGGAACCACACAUGCGGAGAUCAUCCGUUCACUUACUCUGCGUCUCACAAAGACACGGCUGUUCGGACCAAAAAUCUCAAAUUUGGACUCAUCAGACCAAAGGACAGAUUUCCACCGGUCUAAUGUCCAUUACUCGUGUUUCUUGGCCCAAGCAAGUCUCUUCUUCUUAUCGGUGUCCUUUAGUAGUGGUUUCUUUGCAGCAAUGCGACCAUGAAGGCCUGAUUCACGCAGUCUCCUCUGAACAGUUGAUGUUGAGAUGUGUCUGUUACUUGAACUCUGAAGUAUUUAUUUGGGCUGCAAUUUCUGAGGCUGGUAACUCUAAUGAACUUAUUCUCUGCAGCAGAAGUAGCUCUGGGUCUUCCUUUCCUGUGGCGGUCCUCAUGAGAGCCAGUUUCAUCAUAGCGCUUGAUGGUUUUUGCGACUGCACUUGAAGAAACGUUCAAAGUUUUUGACAUUUUCCGGAUUGACUGACCUUCAUGUCUUAAAGUAAUGAUGGACUGUCGUUUCUCUUUGCUUGUUUGAGCUGGUCUUCCCAUAAUAAGGACUUGGUCUUUUACCAAAUAGGGCUAUCUUCUGUAUACCACCCCUACCUUGUCACAACACAACUGAUUGGCUCAAACAGAUUAAGAAGGAAAUAAAUUCCACAAAUUAACUUUUAACUUUUUUAAGGGGUCACCUGUUAACUGAAAUGCAUUCCAUAAAAGAUCAUCAUCGGGUUUGGAGCGGGUAGUCGCACUUCGCUUUGCUCCACAGGUAAUAUUACAUUUCAUUACAUUACAACGGUUUGAUUUGUUUGAUCUGAGCAAUUUUUUCUUAGCUAGCUACAUAGCCGUCUUUGUAUCAAAGAUAAUUGUGUAGUUUAGAGUAAUUAUCGAGGUUAGCUAGCCAGCCGCGACGCGACGCCGUUGUCCAGACUCCAGACUUAGUCAACACACCUAGUCAUCAUCAAACCCACUGCUAGCUAGCCAACCUUUACUGACUAGCAGCACUGUAGAAACUAUUACAUUACAACGGAACGACUUGAUUAGUGCUAGCUAGCUACAUAGCUGUCUUUGCUGUUUUUGUAUCUAAGAUAAUUGUGUAGUUUAGAGUAAUUAUCGAGGUUAGCUAGCCAGCCGCGACGCCGUUGUCCAGACUCCAGACUUAGUCAACACACCUAGUCAUCGUCAAACCCACUGCUAGCUAGCCAACCUUUACUGACUAGCAGCACUAUAGAAACUAAUACAUUACAACGGAACGAUUUGACUAGUGCAGUGUUAGUUGUCUUUGUCAUAGUUUGAUAAUUGUGUAGUUUAGAGUAAUUAUCGAGGUUAGCUAGCCAGCUAUUUUCAUCCCCCGCGACGCCAUUUUUCCAAACCUAGCCAACUAUUACCGACGAGCAGAAUUGUAGAAACUAAAUACAUUACAAAGGAAUGUCUUGAUUAGUGCUAUGUUAGCUAGCUACAUAGUUGCUUUUGUAUCAUAAGGUGUAGUACUGAAACUAUCGAGGUUACCUAGCCAGCUACACGUUCAAACAAAGUCAACAACGCAGCCACUGCUAGCUAGCCUACUUCACCAGCCAGCAGUACUGUAUCAUCUUCGUCAUUUUAGUCAAUAAAAUUUUUGCAACGUAAGCUUAACUUUCUGAACAUUCGAGAAUUGUAGUCCACUUGUCAUUCCAAUCUCCUUUGCAUUAGCGUAGCCUCUUCUGUAGCCUGUCAACUAUGUGUCUGUCUAUCCCUGUUCUCUCCCCUGUGCACAGGCCACACAAACGCUCCACACCGCGUGGCCGCUGCCACUCUAACCUGGUGGUCCCAGCGCGCACGACCCACGUGGCGUUCCAGGUCUCCGGCAGCCUCUGGAACUGCCGGUCUGCGGCCAACAAGGCAGAGUUCAUCUCAGCCUAUGCUACCCUCUAGCACCUCGACUUCUUGGCACUGACGGAAACAUGGAUUACCACAGAUAACACUGCUACUCCUACUGCUCUCUCCUCGUCUGCCCACGUGUUCUCGCAUACCCCGAGAGCAUCUGGCCAGCGCGGUGGUGGCACUGGAAUCCUCAUCUCUCCCAAGUGGACAUUCUCUCUUUCUCCCCUGACCCAUCUGUCUAUCUCCUCAUUUGAAUUCCAUGCUGUCACAGUUACCAGCCCUUUCAAGCUUAACAUCCUUAUCAUUUAUCGCCCUCCAGGUUCCCUUGGAGAGUUCAUCAAUGAGCUUGACGUCUUGAUAAGUUCCUUUCCUGAGGAUGGCUCACCUCUCACAGUUCUGGGUGACUUUAACCUCCCCACGUCUACCUUUGACUCAUUCCUCUCUGCCUCCUUCUUUCCACUCCUCUCCUCUUUUGACCUCACCCUCUCACCUUCCCCCCCUACUCACAAGGCAGGCAAUACGCUUGACCUCAUCUUUACUAGAUGCUGUUCGUCCACUAAUCUCAUUGCAACUCCCCUCCAAGUCUCCGACCACUACCUUGUAUCCUUUUCCCUCUCGCUCUCAUCCAACACUUCUCACUCUGCCCCUACUCGGAUGGUAUUGUGCCGUCUCAACCUUCGCUCUCUCUCUCCCACUACUCUCUCCUCUUCCAUCCUAUCAUCUCUUCCCUCUGCUCAAACCUUCUCCAACCUAUCCCCUGAUUCUGCCUCCUCAACCCUCCUCUCCUCCCUUUCUGCAUCCUUUGAUUCUCUAUGUCCCCUAUCCUCCAGGCCGGCUCGGUCCUCCCCUCCUGCUCCGUGGCUCGACGACUCAUUGCGAGCUCACAGAACAGGGCUCCGGGCAGCCGAGCAGAAAUGGAGGAAAACUCGC